This 253-nucleotide ribosomal RNA is filed under the name uncultured bacterium. RNAcentral's name for it is "partial 16S ribosomal RNA". It matches the Rfam family "Bacterial small subunit ribosomal RNA", at positions 524 to 776 of the family's 1533-position model. The record is from RNAcentral.
UACAGAGGGUGCGAGCGUUAAUCGGAAUUACUGGGCGUAAAGGGCGCGUAGGUGGUUAAUUAAGUCAGAUGUGAAAUCCCUGGGCUUAACCUAGGAAUUGCAUAUGAUACUGAUUAGCUAGAGUACAGAAGAGGGAAGUGGAAUUUCCGGUGUAGCGGUGAAAUGCGUAGAUAUCGGAAGGAACAUCAGUGGCGAAGGCGACUUCCUGGUCUGUUACUGACACUGAGGCGCGAAAGCGUGGGGAGCGAACAGG